AAUCAACGCUGGCGGCGUGCCUAACACAUGCAAGUCGAACGCGAAAGCCCGCAAGGGUAAGUAGAGUGGCGCACGGGUGAGUAACACGUGGACAACCUGCCUUCGAGUGGGGAAUAACCUUCCGAAAGGAGGGCUAAUACCGCAUAACACCUCGGGACACAAGUCUUGGGGUUGAAAAGAGCAAUUUGCUCGAAGAGGGGUCCGCGCCUGAUUAGCUAGUUGGUGAGGUAACGGCUCACCAAGGCUUCGAUCAGUAGCCGUCCUGAGAGGGAGCACGGCCACACUGGAACUGAGACACGGUCCAGACUCCUACGGGAGGCAGCAGUGGGGAAUCUUGCGCAAUGGGCGAAAGCCUGACGCAGCGACGCCGCGUGAGGGAUGACGGCCUGUGUAC
Molecule: ribosomal RNA, 394 nt
Filed under: uncultured bacterium
Lineage: Bacteria
Description: bacterial SSU rRNA
Rfam family: Bacterial small subunit ribosomal RNA
Source: RNAcentral